This 2372-nucleotide long non-coding RNA is filed under the name Pan troglodytes (chimpanzee). RNAcentral's name for it is "lincRNA". The record is from RNAcentral. Lineage: Eukaryota; Metazoa; Chordata; Mammalia; Primates; Hominidae.
ACCCGGCCCUGGGGAGGAGCCUGCGGUCGGGUCUCGGCGACCCGCCGGGACUUUCUAAUCAGAGUCGUGGGGAUUUUACGGGUGGAGUUACUCCGAAACCUUUAAGGCCGAGUGUGAUAGGUAGUUCAAAGCUUCCUGUUUCUUCAGUCUGACAGCUUCAAAUGUCCCGGGUUGUGCUCAAAGCCUCCCUCUUGUGAGAAGAAUCUCUUUGGUUGCCUGUUAAAGCGGUCAGCCAGCUUGCAACACGGAAGCAGCUUUUAGAGGAAUUAAAACCAAAACAAGGAGCAAAUUCUGGAUUAAAAAGAUAUUUGCAACCAUUCUUCCAAUCAAUUUUAGAAAAUUUCCACCACCUCAAAAAGAAAUCCUGAUGAAGAAACAUCCUGAGAAGGUUGACAUGCUGAAUGCCUUAAAGAACUUCAAUUGAGAUGCCAGCUGAAAGUGUAACUGGAAUUUCUAUGGCUUAAAUAACGAGAGCUGGAGUGCAGUAGCAUGAUCACGGCUCACUGCUGCCUCGACCUCCCGGGCUCAGAGAUUCUCCUGCCUCAGCCUCCUGAGUAGCUGGGACCACAGAGUUUCACUCUUGUUGCCCAGGCUGGAGUACAAUGGCAUGAUCUCGGCUCACUGAAACCUCUGCCUCCUGGGUUCAUUCAAGCGAUUCUCCUGCCUCAGCCUCCUGAGUAGCUGGGAUUACAGGCAUGCGCCACCACGCCCGGCUAAUUUUGUAUUUUUAGUAGAGAUGGGGUUUCUCUAUGUUGGUGAGGCUAGUUUCGAACUCCUGACCUCAGGUGAUCCACCUGCCUCGGCCUCCCAAAGUGCUGGGAUUACAGGCAUGGGCUACUGCGCCUGGCCUGUAUCUCCAAUACUUUACAUAUGCCUGACGAACUGCUAUUCCAUCUUGUAGGGCUAAAAUCAUUUUUUUUUUUCAUUUUUGGGAAGCCUCCUCUACAUACCUCCACCUUCUAACUCCAAGAAGUCAAAAUGAAGUCUCACCAUAUUGAUCAGACUGGUCUUGAAGUCCUGGCUUCAAAUGAUCUUCCCUCCUCAGCCUCCCAAACUGCUGGGAUUAUAGAUCUUGCAGACAACAGAUCAUGGAACUUCUUGGCCUCCAUAAUCUCAUGAGCCAAUUUCUAUAUUCCAUAGGGGAAAAAAGGAGAGCUGAGAAUGCACAGAAAUUUUCAUGUGCCAAGUUUGGAAGUACAAAAAGACCUUUAGGUGCGGGCCCUCUGUCUUGGACUUCUCAACCUCCAGAACAAUGGUGUCAGAAGCAGGAUCCCAAGCAGAGCUUCUAGUGACCUCCAGGAGCACUGAGUGAACACUCGAGGUACCAGCACUCGAGGACCCACUUGUGUCCAUGGAUCUCUCAGAGCGGCUCCGGAUGGUAAAAAGCAAUUUGAAGGGGUGUUCUAUACUUUGGCAUAGGAAAUCCAUUCCCUCUCAAGGAGAAGCAGUGGACACAGUCUCAGAAGUUGAGAGCCAUUUGAGAAUCAGUUGAGAAGUUUGAGAACCAGAUAUGUGGGGCUUUGGUAUCAGGAUGAUGCUGGCCUCAUAAAAUGAGUUCAGGAGGAUUCCCUCUUUUUCUAUUGAUUGGAAUAGUUUCAGAAGGAAUGGUACCAGCUCCUCCUUGUACCUCUGGUAGAAUUUGGCUGUGAAUCCAUCUGGUCCUGGACUUUUUUUGGUUGGGGGUCCUGAAACCAAUCCUCCGUGGAUACCCAGGGACAAUUGUAUCUGGCUGGAUUCUGGGAAGUGAACUUAUGGAAUCAAAGGUUAUGCAAACGUUUUUGAGACUUAGACUGGCUCUCCUUGCUCCUCAAGCUUGCAGACAGCCUAUUGUGGGACCUUGUGAUCAUACUUGAAACACUUGUACAUCAGCUCAGAGUGUGCAUUGUCCACUGCAAAUACUAGUGCAAAUUAAGAAGAAGAGAAAAAAGAAGGUCCACGAGCUCCCAAUGACAUCUAGGACUGCUGCUGUCUCAUAGCACAUACUCCUCCCACAAGGACUACAAAUGACAAGAGAAAAUUUGUAUAAUUGGAAUUCUGGACAUUUCUCAAAUGCUCAUGGACUCAAAUACUUUCUGCUGUAUUUGGAAUUUUCAAACCAAAACAUGAUAGCAACCAGACCAGAAAAAUGUAAUUGACCAGAAAUGUCCUACAAUAUUUACAAUAUACUCAUUUUUCUGCAUGUUCAAUUUUUAAAGUUGGGUAUUCUGUACUGGAAUCUAAUGGGAUUUGACUAAUAAUCCUCACAAAAAUGAUGCCAGGAUGUUCUUCAGCUUUUGAUAGACUUUAAAAUACACAGGCAGCAUAAUCUUGAGCAAGAAAAGAGCUGACUUUCUGUACAGGAGAAAUAAAGAAUAGUGUAGCACUUGACAACC